GACCCCAAAGUGACCCUAUGGAGACCCCAAAGGGACCCCAUAAUGAUCACAGGGGGACCCCAUAGUGACACCAUGAGGGCCCCAAAAUGACCCCAAAGGGAUCCCAUGGGAACCCUAAAAUGACCCUAAAGGGACCCCAUGGGGACCCCAAAGUGACACCACGGAGACCCCAUGGAGACCCCAAAGGGACCCCAAGAUGGCCCUAAAGUGGCCCCACAGGGACCCCACAUCAACCCCAUAGUGACACCAUGGAGACCCCAAAGUGACCCCAAAGAGACCCUAUAGUGACCCCAUGGAGACCUCAAAGGGACCCCAUAAUGAUCCCAUGGGGACCCCAUAGUGACACCAUGAGGGCCCCAAAAUGACCCCAAAGUGACACUAUGGGGACCCCAAAGGGACCCCAAAAGGGCCCAAAAUGACCCCAUAGUGACAGCACAGGGACCCCAAAGUGAUCCUAUGGGGGCCCCAAAGUGACCCCAUAGUGACCCCAUGAGGGUCCCAAAAUGACCCCACAAGGACCCCAAAGUGACACCAUGGGGACCCCACAGAGACCCCAUAGUGACCCAAUGAGGGUCCCUAAAUGACCCCAUAGUGACAGCACAGGGACCCCAAAGUGACCCCAUAGUGACACCAUGAGGGUCCCUAAAUGACCCCAAAGUGAUCCCAUGGGGACCCUAAAAUGACCCCACAGGGACCCCAUAGUGACCAUUAGAUCCUAUAGAGGUCCCACACUGACCCCACGGGUGAUCCGUGCCCCAUAGCGGCCCCUUUUGGGGGUCCCAGCCCCACCCCAUAGCGCCCCAUGGCGGCACGGGGCAGUGGGGGGGGGCGACGAUGACAUGGGAAUAACCCCAUAACAAUAAAUGACCCCAAAGAUCCCAGUGUGGGGUGAAGGGGAUCGUGAAGGUCCCAA
Molecule: non-coding RNA, 913 nt
Organism: Coturnix japonica (Japanese quail)
Lineage: Eukaryota; Metazoa; Chordata; Aves; Galliformes; Phasianidae
Source: RefSeq, a predicted model, not a curated record